RNAcentral lists this non-coding RNA (1235 nucleotides) under Caenorhabditis japonica. RNAcentral describes it as "rRNA CJA48393". It matches the Rfam family "Eukaryotic small subunit ribosomal RNA", at positions 368 to 1657 of the family's 1831-position model. Lineage: Eukaryota; Metazoa; Nematoda; Chromadorea; Rhabditida; Rhabditidae. The record is from Rfam by way of RNAcentral.
AAUUAGGGUUCGACUCCGGAGAGGGAGCCUUAGAAACGGCUACCACGUCCAAGGAAGGCAGCAGGCGCGAAACUUAUCCACUGUUGAGUAUGAGAUAGUGACUAAAAAUAUAAAGACUCAUCCUUUUGGAUGAGUUAUUUCAAUGAGUUGAAUAUAAAUUAUUCUUCGAGUAGCAAGGAGAGGGCAAGUCUGGUGCCAGCAGCCGCGGUAAUUCCAGCUCUCCUAGUGUAUCUCGUUAUUGCUGCGGUUAAAAAGCUCGUAGUUGGAUCUAGGUUACGUGCCGCAGUUCGCAAUUUGCGUUAACUGUGGUCGUGACUUCUAAUUUGCUGGUUUGAGGUUGGGUUCGCCCUUCAACUGCCAGCAGGUUUACCUUGAAUAAAUCAGAGUGCUCAAUACAGGCGCUUGCUUGAAUAGCUCAUCAUGGAAUAAUGAAACAGGACUUCGGUUCUUUUUGUUGGUUCUAGAAUUGAUCUAAUGGUUAAGAGGGACAAACCGGGGGCAUUCGUAUCAUUACGCGAGAGGUGAAAUUCGUGGACCGUAGUGAGACGCCCAAUAGCGAAAGCAUUUGCCAAGAAUGUCUUCAUUAAUCAAGAACGAAAGUCAGAGGUUCGAAGGCGAUUAGAUACCGCCCUAGUUCUGACCGUAAACGAUGCCAUCUCGCGAUUCGGAGGGUUCAUGCCCUACCGAGGAGCUACCCGGAAACGAAAGUCUUUCGGUUCCGGGGGUAGUAUGGUUGCAAAGCUGAAACUUAAAGAAAUUGACGGAAGGGCACCACAAGGCGUGGAGCUUGCGGCUUAAUUUGACUCAACACGGGAAAACUCACCCGGUCCGGACACUAUUAGGACUGACAGAUUGAAAGCUCUUUCUCGAUUUGGUGGUUGGUGGUGCAUGGCCGUUCUUAGUUGGUGGAGUGAUUUGUCUGGUUUAUUCCGAUAACGAGCGAGACUCUAGCCUGCUAAAUAGUCGACGAAUCUUCGGGUUCGUAUAACUUCUUAGAGGGAUAAGCGGUGUUUAGCCGCACGAGAUUGAGCGAUAACAGGUCUGUGAUGCCCUUAGAUGUCCGGGGCUGCACGCGUGCUACACUGGUGGAGUCAGCGGGUUUUUCCUAUGCCGAAAGGUAUCGGUAAACCGUUGAACUUCUUCCAUGUCCGGGAUAGGGUAUUGUAAUUAUUACCCUUAAACGAGGAAUGCCUAGUAAGUGUGAGUCAUCAGCUCACGUUGAUUACGUCCCUGCC